AACGAACGCUGGCGGCAUGCCUAACACAUGCAAGUCGAACGAGACCUUCGGGUCUAGUGGCGCACGGGUGCGUAACGCGUGGGAACCUGCCCUUAGGUUCGGAAUAACUCCCCGAAAGGGGUGCUAAUACCGGAUAAUGUCUUCGGACCAAAGAUUUAUCGCCUUUGGAUGGGCCCGCGUUGGAUUAGCUAGUUGGUAGGGUAAAAGCCUACCAAGGCGACGAUCCAUAGCUGGUCUGAGAGGAUGAUCAGCCACACUGGGACUGAGACACGGCCCAGACUCCUACGGGAGGCAGCAGUGGGGAAUAUUAGACAAUGGGCGAAAGCCUGAUCCAGCAAUGCCGCGUGAGUGAUGAAGGCCUUAGGGUUGUAAAGCUCUUUUACCCGGGAUGAUAAUGACAGUACCGGGAGAAUAAGCACCGGCUAACUCCGUG
This 433-nucleotide ribosomal RNA is filed under the name uncultured bacterium. RNAcentral describes it as "partial 16S ribosomal RNA". It matches the Rfam family "Bacterial small subunit ribosomal RNA", at positions 29 to 507 of the family's 1533-position model. The record is from RNAcentral.